Molecule: transfer RNA, 89 nt
Rfam family: tRNA
About the family: Transfer RNA (tRNA) molecules are approximately 80 nucleotides in length. Their secondary structure includes four short double-helical elements and three loops (D, anti-codon, and T loops).
Source: Rfam
UGCCCUAUGGCUCAGUAGGUUAGCGCGUGGAGCUGUUACGAUGACUCGAAACAACUCCGAGGUCCACGGUUCGAGUCCGUGUGGGGCAG